Long non-coding RNA from Cornus florida, 1061 nucleotides. RefSeq lists it as uncharacterized. The record is from RefSeq and is a predicted model, not a curated record. The transcript is spliced from 2 exons. Lineage: Eukaryota; Viridiplantae; Streptophyta; Magnoliopsida; Cornales; Cornaceae.
AUGGUGUUUUUUUUUUUUCUUCAUAUAUAUGUGUGCUUUAUUUUUCUAAAUUUUUGUAUAUUGUUUUCUAAAUUUGCAGAUUAUGCUAAUAUAUGUGUUUUAUUUGUUUGUCGUGUACACAUAAAACUCUCACAAAUAAAUUGUCGAGUAUUAUGUGUUUAAUCAAUUAUUUUAUUUUGUUAAGAUUCAAAUCUAUUUAUGUUCAAUUUAAAUAUCAGUUAAAGUUUGAUAGAUUACAUUUCAUAAUGGCACAUGAAUUUGUCAUAUAUAUAUUUAUUUAUUUAUAUCCUAGCAACAAACUCAAUACAACUGUAAUAAUUCUAAUUUUCAGCAUUUUAGAAUUUUCUGAAAAUUCGUUAAUGCAAGGGCAUUUUCGUCUUUUCACUUUACCAUCCGGGUUUGUGGUUGGGUCCAGUUACAUUUCCUACAUUUUAAUUUAUGUGGUGAUGUAGCAUUUGUAUGGUGCAAUUGUGUAUUUGUGGUGUAAUUAGAGACAAAAAAAUAAAGAGAAAAGGAAAAUAAUUUCAAGUGGGGCCCACCACUAACUUAUUUGGCCAAGAAAUCUUCUUUUCUUUCUCAUUUUCUUUCUCUUUCCCGUAUGCUCUCUCUCCCUCUCGGUUCCUUCUCUUUUUCUUUCAUUUUGGAGACAAAAAACUUUGAGGUUUGAUUACUCAAUCAUCUUUCAUCGGAUUUAGGAACCGUUUGAGGCGAAACGAAGCUUGUAGCGAGCUCUACGCAUCCAUACUAUCAAUUUUCAGUUUUGAGUCUUCCUUGGAGCUCGAAUUUGGAGGACCUAUUCUAGGGAUUUCGGCUUGGAUUGUGAGGUCUUGGAAAGGAACUGGUGGAUGACAACCCACCUCAAGCUUGAACGGCGUUAGAAGUCCACUUUUGUAUCUUUGUAUAUUCCCCAUUAUUUUGUAAAACACUAGAAGUGCAAAGAUGUAUAAUUAUUUUGUGGAACUUUGUCAUGUAAUAUAACUAAAGUAUUGAUGAUGUUUUGGAUGGGGAUUUGAUAGUAUGCAACUUAUUGAUGAAUGGAUGGAUAAUCCUAGUUUGAAGCA